AUACGGGAGGCAGCAAGCGGGAAUAUUGCACAACGGGCGAAAGCCAGGUGCAGCAAUGCCGUGUGAGGGAUGACGGCCUUCGGGUUGUAAACCUCUGUCGGCGGGGAAGAAGACAGUGACGGUACCCGCCGAGGAAGCUCCGGCUAACUCCGUGCCAGCAGCCGCGGUAAGACGGAGGGAGCAAGCGUUGUCCGGAUUUACUGGGCGUAAAGCGCGCGUAGGCGGCCCAUUAAGUCGGUUGUGAAAUCGCUGGGCUCAACUCAGCAACUGCAGUCGAUACUGAUGGGCUCGAGUCCGGGAGAGGGAAGCGGAAUUCCUGGUGUAGCGGUGGAAUGCGUAGAUAUCAGGAAGAACACCGGUGGCGAAGGCGGCUUCCUGGACCGGUACUGACGCUGAGGCGCGAAAGCUAGGGGAGCGAACGGGAUUAGAUACCCCGGU
RNAcentral lists this ribosomal RNA (438 nucleotides) under uncultured bacterium. RNAcentral describes it as "bacterial SSU rRNA". It matches the Rfam family "Bacterial small subunit ribosomal RNA", at positions 339 to 791 of the family's 1533-position model. The record is from RNAcentral.